GACGAACGCUGGCGGCGUGCCUAAUACAUGCAAGUAGAACGCUGAAGAGAGGAGCUUGCUCUUCUUGGAUGAGUUGCGAACGGGUGAGUAACGCGUAGGUAACCUGCCUUGUAGCGGGGGAUAACUAUUGGAAACGAUAGCUAAUACCGCAUAACAAUGGAUGACACAUGUCAUUUAUUUGAAAGGGGCAAUUGCUCCACUACAAGAUGGACCUGCGUUGUAUUAGCUAGUAGGUGAGGUAAUGGCUCACCUAGGCGACGAUACAUAGCCGACCUGAGAGGGUGAUCGGCCACACUGGGACUGAGACACGGCCCAGACUCCUACGGGAGGCAGCAGUAGGGAAUCUUCGGCAAGGGGGGCAACCCUGACCGAGCAACGCCGCGUGAGUGAAGAAGGUUUUCGGAUCGUAAAGCUCUGUUGUAAGUCAAGAACGGGUGUGAGAGUGGAAAGUUCACACUGUGACGGUAGCUUACCAGAAAGGGACGGCUAACUACGUG
RNAcentral lists this ribosomal RNA (497 nucleotides) under uncultured bacterium. RNAcentral's name for it is "partial 16S ribosomal RNA". It matches the Rfam family "Bacterial small subunit ribosomal RNA", at positions 28 to 507 of the family's 1533-position model. The record is from RNAcentral.